RNAcentral lists this long non-coding RNA (754 nucleotides) under Vulpes vulpes (red fox). Its description in RNAcentral is "lncRNA (ENSVVUG00000012728.1)". The record is from RNAcentral. Lineage: Eukaryota; Metazoa; Chordata; Mammalia; Carnivora; Canidae.
AAUUAAUGUGAACUGGCAGCGUUCAGGUUAAGGACCCAUCUCCUGUCACCUGACUGGCCAUCAGGCUAGCAUGAUGACACAGAGAUUGUAAUAAUGACCCCAUUUGUCUAAGGUUUACAACAGCAUAAUCCCAGUCUACCCCGGGGUCCAUUCUGCAGAUCUGCCCUGCUCCUGUGAGUGCCAGAAUGUGGGUCUGCUCUGAAGCUUCUCUUGCUGUUCUAAGUCCUCUGAGUAGCACCGGGACCCCAGCAGAUUAUCUCGCCUUUGCCAGCACCUCCCAGUCCCACUGUGAGGAAAUGCCAGGCCCAGGCCCAGGCAUCUCAUCUGCCAUGCAGGUGGAAUCAAGGCACGGGUACUGAAGCAGCCGUUUCUCCUAGGCAUCAGGAAAAAUGUUUCUUCAGGAUAAAGGAAGCAGGACUGGAUGUCCGUUACCUCGGGGCCAGUCCAUAGGAAGUGCUCGAGAGCAGAAGACUGGAGUGGUUCUCUCCAAAGGAUCCAGGCAUCUGAAGAAGGCUCCAGUGACCUCCUCGAGGUGAACCACUGCUUUUCCCAGCCCGAGGAGAUUUGGGAGCUGCGGGCUUUGGAGCGGGCAUGGCUAAGUCCAAGUCCAAGUCCAAGAAUCACACCACACACAACCAGUCAUGAAAAUGGCCCAGAAAUGGCAUCAAGAAACCCCAGGCAAAAAGAUAUGAAUCUCUUUAGGAGCCGAACCCAGGUUCCCGAGGCACAUGCGCGUUGCCAAGAAGUACAAUAA